Molecule: ribosomal RNA, 497 nt
Filed under: uncultured bacterium
Lineage: Bacteria
Description: partial 16S ribosomal RNA
Rfam family: Bacterial small subunit ribosomal RNA
Source: RNAcentral
GACGAACGCUGGCGGCGUGCCUAAUACAUGCAAGUUGAGCGCUGAAGGUUGGUACUUGUCCCAACUGGCUGAGCAGCGAACGGGUGAGUAACGCGUGGGGAAUCUGCCUUUGAGCGGGGGACAACAUUUGGAAACGAAUGCUAAUACCGCAUAAAAACUUUAAACACAAGUUUUAAGUUUGAAAGAUGCAAUUGCAUCACUCAAAGAUGAUCCCGCGUUGUAUUAGCUAGUUGGUGAGGUAAAGGCUCACCAAGGCGAUGAUACAUAGCCGACCUGAGAGGGUGAUCGGCCACAUUGGGACUGAGACACGGCCCAAACUCCUACGGGAGGCAGCAGUAGGGAAUCUUCGGCAAUGGACGAAAGUCUGACCGAGCAACGCCGCGUGAGUGAAGAAGGUUUUCGGAUCGUAAAACUCUGUUGGUAGAGAAGAACGUUGGUGAGAGUGGAAAGCUCAUAAAGUGACGGUAACUACCCAGAAAGGGACGGCUAACUACGUG